AUUGAACGCUGGCGGCAGGCUUAACACAUGCAAGUCGAGCGGUAGCACAGGGGAGCUUGCUCCCUGGGUGACGAGCGGCGGACGGGUGAGUAAUGUCUGGGAAACUGCCUGAUGGAGGGGGAUAACUACUGGAAACGGUAGCUAAUACCGCAUAACGUCGCAAGACCAAAGAGGGGGACCUUCGGGCCUCUUGCCAUCAGAUGUGCCCAGAUGGGAUUAGCUAGUAGGUGGGGUAAUGGCUCACCUAGGCGACGAUCCCUAGCUGGUCUGAGAGGAUGACCAGCCACACUGGAACUGAGACACGGUCCAGACUCCUACGGGAGGCAGCAGUGGGGAAUAUUGCACAAAGGGCGGAAGCCUGAUGCAGCCAUGCCGCGUGUGUGAAGAAGGCCUUCGGGUUGUAAAGCACUUUCAGCGAGGAGGAAGGUGGUGAGCUUAAUACGGUCAUCAAUUGACGUUACUCGCAGAAGAAGCACCGGCUAACUCCGUG
RNAcentral lists this ribosomal RNA (490 nucleotides) under uncultured bacterium. RNAcentral describes it as "partial 16S ribosomal RNA". It matches the Rfam family "Bacterial small subunit ribosomal RNA", at positions 30 to 507 of the family's 1533-position model. The record is from RNAcentral.